GUGCCCGUAGCUCAGCUGGAUAGAGCGUUGGUUUGCGGAGCCAAAGGCCGCGCGUUCGAAUCGCGCCGGGCACACCA
This 77-nucleotide transfer RNA is filed under the name Candidatus Altimarinota bacterium. RNAcentral describes it as "tRNA-Arg". It matches the Rfam family "tRNA". Rfam says of the family: Transfer RNA (tRNA) molecules are approximately 80 nucleotides in length. Their secondary structure includes four short double-helical elements and three loops (D, anti-codon, and T loops). Further hydrogen bonds mediate the characteristic L-shaped molecular structure. tRNAs have two regions of fundamental functional importance: the anti-codon, which is responsible for specific mRNA codon recognition, and the 3' end, to which the tRNAs corresponding amino acid is attached (by aminoacyl-tRNA synthetases). tRNAs cope with the degeneracy of the genetic code in two manners: having more than one tRNA (with a specific anti-codon) for a particular amino acid; and 'wobble' base-pairing, i.e. permitting non-standard base-pairing at the 3rd anti-codon position. Lineage: Bacteria; Candidatus Altimarinota. The record is from RNAcentral.